AACGAACGCUGGCGGCAUGCCUAAAACAUGCAAGUCGAACGAAGUCUUCGGACUUAGUGGCGCACGGGUGCGUAACGCGUGGGAAUCUGCCCUUGGGUACGGAAUAACUCAGAGAAAUUUGUGCUAAUACCGUAUAAUGUCUUCGGACCAAAGAUUUAUCGCCCAAGGAUGAGCCCGCGUAAGAUUAGCUAGUUGGUGAGGUAAGAGC
Molecule: ribosomal RNA, 208 nt
Filed under: uncultured Sphingopyxis sp.
Lineage: Bacteria; Pseudomonadati; Pseudomonadota; Alphaproteobacteria; Sphingomonadales; Sphingopyxidaceae
Description: partial 16S ribosomal RNA
Rfam family: Bacterial small subunit ribosomal RNA
Source: RNAcentral